UACGGAGGGUGCAAGCGUUAUCCGGAUUCACUGGGUUUAAAGGGUGCGUAGGUGGGCAGGUAAGUCAGUGGUGAAAUCUCCGGGCUUAACCCGGAAACUGCCAUUGAUACUAUCAGUCUUGAAUACCGUGGAGGUAAGCGGAAUAUGUUAUGUAGCGGUGAAAUGCUUAGAUAUGACAUAGAACACCAAUUGCGAAGGCAGCUUACUACCCGAAUAUUGACACUGAGGCACGAAAGCGUGGGGAUCAAACAGG
RNAcentral lists this ribosomal RNA (253 nucleotides) under uncultured bacterium. Its description in RNAcentral is "partial 16S ribosomal RNA". It matches the Rfam family "Bacterial small subunit ribosomal RNA", at positions 524 to 776 of the family's 1533-position model. The record is from RNAcentral.